UACGAAGGGGGCUAGCGUUGCUCGGAAUCACUGGGCGUAAAGCGCACGUAGGCGGCUUUCUAAGUCAGGGGUGAAAUCCUGGAGCUCAACUCCAGAACUGCCUUUGAUACUGGAGAGCUUGAGUCCGGGAGAGGUGAGUGGAACUCCGAGUGUAGAGGUGAAAUUCGUAGAUAUUCGGAAGAACACCAGUGGCGAAGGCGGCUCACUGGCCCGGUACUGACGCUGAGGUGCGAAAGCGUGGGGAACAAACAGG
RNAcentral lists this ribosomal RNA (253 nucleotides) under uncultured bacterium. RNAcentral describes it as "partial 16S ribosomal RNA". It matches the Rfam family "Bacterial small subunit ribosomal RNA", at positions 524 to 776 of the family's 1533-position model. The record is from RNAcentral.